CGGCAACAGCUCAAAUUUGAAAUCUGCCCGCAAGGGCCGAGUUGUAAUUUGUAGAGGAUGCUUUUGGUGCGGCGCCUUCCGAGUUCCCUGGAACGGGACGCCAUAGAGGGUGAGAGCCCCGUCUGGUUGGACGCCAAUCCUCUGUAAAGCUCCUUCGAC
Molecule: ribosomal RNA, 159 nt
Filed under: Penicillifer sp.
Lineage: Eukaryota; Fungi; Ascomycota; Sordariomycetes; Hypocreales; Nectriaceae
Description: partial large subunit ribosomal RNA
Rfam family: Eukaryotic large subunit ribosomal RNA
Source: RNAcentral